AUUGAACGCUGGCGGCAGGCCUAACACAUGCAAGUCGAGCGAGCGGCGGACGGGUGAGUAAUGUCUGGGAAACUGCCUGAUGGAGGGGGAUAACUACUGGAAACGGUAGCUAAUACCGCAUACCAUCAGAUGUGCCCAGAUGGGAUUAGCUAGUAGGUGGGGUAACGGCUCACCUAGGCGACGAUCCCUAGCUGGGCUGAGAGGAUGACCGGCCAUACUGGGACUUAGCCACGUUCCAGACUCCUACGGGAGGCAGCAGUGGGGAAUAUUGCACAAGGGGAGCAAGCCUGAUGAAGCCAUGCCGCGUGUGUGAAGAAGGCCUUCGGGUUGUAAAGCACUUUCAGCGGUGAUGCGUUACCCGCAGAAGAAGCAACGGCUAACUCCGUGCCAGCAGCCGCGGUAAUAC
Molecule: ribosomal RNA, 406 nt
Filed under: uncultured bacterium
Lineage: Bacteria
Description: partial 16S ribosomal RNA
Rfam family: Bacterial small subunit ribosomal RNA
Source: RNAcentral